Molecule: ribosomal RNA, 91 nt
Filed under: Aeromonas sp. HZM
Lineage: Bacteria; Pseudomonadati; Pseudomonadota; Gammaproteobacteria; Aeromonadales; Aeromonadaceae
Description: partial 16S ribosomal RNA
Rfam family: Bacterial small subunit ribosomal RNA
Source: RNAcentral
UUAAAUUGAAGAGUUUGAUCAUGGCUCAGAUUGAACGCUGGCGGCAGGCCUAACACAUGCAAGUCGAGCGGCAGCGGGAAAGUAGCUUGCA